UACGGAGGGAGCUAGCGUUGUUCGGAAUUACUGGGCGUAAAGCGUACGUAGGCGGUUAUUCAAGUCAGGGGUGAAAGCCUGGAGCUCAACUCCAGAACUGCCCUUGAAACUAGAUAGCUAGAAUCUUGGAGAGGUGAGUGGAAUUCCGAGUGUAGAGGUGAAAUUCGUAGAUAUUCGGAAGAACACCAGUGGCGAAGGCGACUCACUGGACAAGUAUUGACGCUGAGGUACGAAAGCGUGGGGAGCAAACAGG
Molecule: ribosomal RNA, 253 nt
Filed under: uncultured bacterium
Lineage: Bacteria
Description: partial 16S ribosomal RNA
Rfam family: Bacterial small subunit ribosomal RNA
Source: RNAcentral